Molecule: long non-coding RNA, 1083 nt
Organism: Neltuma alba
Lineage: Eukaryota; Viridiplantae; Streptophyta; Magnoliopsida; Fabales; Fabaceae
Exons: 2
Source: RefSeq, a predicted model, not a curated record
AAAGAAAUUAGGGUUCAAUCCUCAGCCCCAUCUGUCAUCGAUUGAUUGAGGUAAUCGACGGAGGUGAGGAUUGAGAGCAACAGAGGGAAAAUUAGGGUUCAAAGCUUAUACCCCAUUUAUACCCCAUCUGGUUGGUGAGCGAGCCUGGAGCUUUUGAUCGACUCAGAGCAGCAAAGGGAAAAAAGUGAGCGUUUAAACUUGUUCCCCAUCUAUCGUUGGCGAAAGUGGAGGUUUCAGGCGAUUUAGAGCAAGAGAGGAAAAAAGUGAGUAUUGAAACCUUCGACCCCCUCGAUAGCUAGUGAAGCUGGCUUUAUAUUUCUAUUCUGUUCUCCUUCGUCGGUGUUGUCAUCAUUGCUGAAACCUCCUCCUUCGUCUAUUGCAGCCCCCUUCAACGUUUGGAUGCUCAAUGGGUGAAUAAAAUUUUGAUUCAACGGUGACGAGCAGGAGAAGGAUUGCUUUGGUUAAGCAAGUUAAAGUGGAGACGGAGUAUGAAGGGCCGAAAAGGUUUUGUCACUGUGGUGUAUUGGCUCCUAGAUGGACAGCUUGGAGUGAGAAGAACCUUGGUAGAAGAUUUUAUGGAUGCCGAAAAUACAAUCAGGAGGAGGCUACGGUUAUUUUAGCUGGCGUGAUAAAGAAAUGGGUCAGAGACCAAUUGAAGUGAUCACUGAGUUGUCACAUAGAUUCACUGUAUGAUGGGAACUUGAGGCUAAAAAGAAGACUUGAGGGUGAAGAGUUAGGAGCAGAGAUGUGUAGAAUAUAUCAAGAAUUGAACAAGAUGGAGAGGAGGCACGGCAAGUUUGUAGCUGCAGCUGAAAGUGGGAAAAAGAAGAUGAAAAUACUGCAACUUGCUUUGUUGUUGUCUUGGCUUUGUGUUUUUUAUUUCCUUGUAAGGUAGUGAACCAUGAAAAUACUGCAGCUUGCUUUUUGAUUUUGUUGGGAUGUAAAGUUGUUUAAAGAUGGAAGAAGCACUGAACCAUGUGAUAUUUUUGCUCAUAAUCUUAAAUGAUAUCCUAUUGGCAGUAAACAUUUGUGAUCAUGUCUUUUGAAUAGAAAGCAAUCAUGGUUCCAUGUUAUGGCUGUUAA